GAGCCAGAAACCGAAAUUCGGGUAGGGAAGUUGCGUUGAAGCAAAUCAACACGA
Molecule: non-coding RNA, 54 nt
Filed under: Karenia brevis
Lineage: Eukaryota; Dinophyceae; Gymnodiniales; Kareniaceae
Source: RNAcentral